AGAUUGAACGCUGGCGGCAUGCCUAACACAUGCAAGUCGAACGGGAGUAGCAAUACUCUAGUGGCGGACGGGUGAGGAAUACGUAGGAAUUUGCCCUUAAGUGGGGGAUAACCCGGGGAAACCCGGAUUAAUACCGCAUGACCUCGAAAGAGCAAAGUGGGGGAUCGCAAGACCUCACGCUUUUGGAGAAGCCUACGUCGGAUUAGCUAGUUGGUGAGGUAAUGGCUCACCAAGGCGACGAUCCGUAACUGGUCUGAGAGGAUGAUCAGUCACACCGGAACUGAGACACGGUCCGGACUCCGUACGGGAGGCAGCAGGUGGGGAAUAGUUGGACAAGUGGGCGCAAGCCUGAUCCAGCAAUGCCGCGUGUGUGAAGAAGGCCGUUGGUUAGUAAGCUAACGUUUAAGUUAGGGAAAGUAAAAACGUCG
RNAcentral lists this ribosomal RNA (428 nucleotides) under uncultured soil bacterium. Its description in RNAcentral is "bacterial SSU rRNA". It matches the Rfam family "Bacterial small subunit ribosomal RNA", at positions 26 to 459 of the family's 1533-position model. The record is from RNAcentral.